This 405-nucleotide unclassified non-coding RNA is filed under the name soil metagenome. Its description in RNAcentral is "partial contains 5.8S ribosomal RNA, internal transcribed spacer 2, and large subunit ribosomal RNA". The stretch from base 1 to 121 matches the Rfam family "5.8S ribosomal RNA", at positions 35 to 154 of the family's 154-position model. The record is from RNAcentral.
GAUGAAGAACGUAGCGAAAUGCGAUAAGUAAUGUGAAUUGCAGAAUUCAGUGAAUCAUCGAAUCUUUGAACGCACCUUGCGCCCUUUGGCCAUUCCGAAGGGCAUGCCUGUUUGAGUAUCAUGAACACCUCAACUCUUUAUGGUUUUCCAUGAUGAGCUUGGACUCUGGGGGUUUUGCUGGCUCACAGUCGGCUCCUCUAAAAUGAAUCAGCUUACCAGUGUUUGGUGGGUAUCAUGGGUGUGAUAACUAUCUACGCUUGUGGUUUUUCCACCAGGUAACCUUCAGCAGUGGAGGUUCGCUGGAGCUCAUAGAUGUCCCUCCUCAGUGAGGACAGCCCUUUGAAUGUUUGAUCUCAAAUCAGGUAGGACUACCCGCUGAACUUAAGCAUAUCAAUAAGCGGAGGA